AACGAACGCUGGCGGCAUGCCUAACACAUGCAAGUCGAACGAGAUCUUCGGGUCUAGUGGCGCACGGGUGCGUAACGCGUGGGAAUCUGCCCUUUGGUUCGGAAUAACAGUUGGAAACGACUGCUAAUACCGGAUGAUGACGAAAGUCCAAAGAUUUAUCGCCAGAGGAUGAGCCCGCGUAGGAUUAGCUAGUUGGUGUGGUAAAGGCGCACCAAGGCGACGAUCCUUAGCUGGUCUGAGAGGAUGAUCAGCCACACUGGGACUGAGACACGGCCCAGACUCCUACGGGAGGCAGCAGUGGGGAAUAUUGGACAAGGGGCGAAAGCCUGAUCCAGCAAUGCCGCGUGAGUGAUGAAGGUCUUAGGAUUGUAAAAUUCUUUUACCAGGGACGAUAAUGACGGUACCUGGAGAAAAAGCCCCGGCUAACUUCGUGCCAGCAGCCGCGGUAA
This 449-nucleotide ribosomal RNA is filed under the name uncultured bacterium. Its description in RNAcentral is "partial 16S ribosomal RNA". It matches the Rfam family "Bacterial small subunit ribosomal RNA", at positions 29 to 523 of the family's 1533-position model. The record is from RNAcentral.